RNAcentral lists this ribosomal RNA (253 nucleotides) under uncultured bacterium. Its description in RNAcentral is "partial 16S ribosomal RNA". It matches the Rfam family "Bacterial small subunit ribosomal RNA", at positions 57 to 305 of the family's 1533-position model. The record is from RNAcentral.
GCAAGUCGAACGGUAACAGAAGGAGCUUGCUCUUUGCUGACGAGUGGCGAACGGGUGCGUAACGCGUAUGCAACCUACCUUAAAGUGGGGUAUACCCCAGAGAAAUUUGGAUUAAUACCGCAUAACACAGUGACUCUUCAUGGUAACACUGUUAAAGCUUCGGCGCUUUAAGAUGGGCAUGCGUGACAUUAGAUAGUUGGUGAGGUAACGGCUCACCAAGUCAACGAUGUCUAGGGGUUCUGAGAGGAUUAUC